AUUCCAGCUCCAAUAGCGUAUAUUAAAGUUGUUGCAGUUAAAAAGCUCGUAGUUGGAUUCUGGUGGGAGCGUUGGGCCGGCCCUAAGGGUCUGAGCUCAAAUGUUUUCCGCCAUCCUUGGAGGGAUGUUGUCUGGCAUUAAGUUGUCGGGCUUCCGAUCUCCAUCGUUUACUGUGAAAAAAUUAGAGUGUUCAAAGCAGGCUUAUGCCGUUGAAUACAUUAGCAUGGAAUAAUAAGAUAGGACCUUGGUACUAUUUUGUUGGUUUGCGUACCUAGGUAAUGAUUAAUAGGGACAGUUGGGGAUAUUACUAUUUCGUUGUCAGAGGUGAAAUCCUUGGAUUUACGGAAGAGUAACUACUGCGAAAGCAUUUAUCAAGGAUGUUUUCAUUA
RNAcentral lists this ribosomal RNA (389 nucleotides) under Bolidophyceae sp. Its description in RNAcentral is "partial small subunit ribosomal RNA". It matches the Rfam family "Eukaryotic small subunit ribosomal RNA", at positions 582 to 975 of the family's 1831-position model. Lineage: Eukaryota; Bolidophyceae. The record is from RNAcentral.